Myotis brandtii (Brandt's bat) is the source of this 127-nucleotide non-coding RNA. The record is from Rfam. NCBI's taxonomy places the organism in Eukaryota, Metazoa, Chordata, Mammalia, Chiroptera, Vespertilionidae.
CUUGUACCGGUGGGGUCCCUCAGCCUGGCCUGCACCCUCUCCCAAUCUGGAAUCCCUCUGGGGAUGUCAGACUGCUGGUUUUGGCCGAUCCCCACCAGGCCAGGCUGAGGGACUCCACCAGUGCAUG